RNAcentral lists this small RNA (1548 nucleotides) under Lupinus albus (white lupine). Its description in RNAcentral is "hypothetical ncRNA". Lineage: Eukaryota; Viridiplantae; Streptophyta; Magnoliopsida; Fabales; Fabaceae. The record is from RNAcentral.
CUUCUUUGGAUGGAGAAUCCUUGUUCAUAUUUGUGUCUGUACUAUCCUUUCGUGGUAUUGAAUGGUUAAUUUGUGAAAUGAAUUUGUAUUGCUCUAUAAUAUUCAUUUAGUUGUUGAAUGAUAUUUUACGAUUUUUCCCUUUUUUCUUUAUUCAUAUUUGUUAAUGAUUGAAAAUACUUUGUCAAAUUAGCAAUUUUCUGAUUGCAUUUGUCUGUUGUUUCUCAAAACAAUUUACAUUUUUUUUCUGUUCAUAUUUUAUUUCUCUUCUUAUAGGAGUAUUCGUAUUUGUUCUGGUUAUAAUUUUUGUAACUCUACCUAUUUUAAAUUAUUCUGUAAAUCUAAGGAGAUUAAACAUUGUUUUAUAUUACAUAAUAAAUUACAUUGUCAGUGAAACUAUACAUAUCACUAAUUCUUGUAAAUCUGUAAGAAUUAUCCUUAACUUAUAUACAUAUAUGAUAUUUGUUACCAAGUUGCGAUGCACUAUUAUAUGGUGUUGAAAGACUCAGAUCUGAAAAGUUUUGAGUCAUAGCCAUUAACAAGAUCAAAUGUGAAUGAUCUCUAGGUAUUUGCCACAUGAAAGACAUUGCAUACCGAUUGGGACCAUAAUUUCCUAAUAAAUUCUAUGGAUUUACUGUGAACACUUUUGUCAAUACAUUACCUGAUAACCCACCAAUGAAAAUAUGAGAACAAUAUUCUAUUUAAACAUUUGAAUCAUAGACUUCUAUGCUUACCAGAAACUACUAUGCAAGUUAAAUGCAUGGGUUAACUGGUUGUAAAUUACAUUGACCUAACCGAGUACGCCAAUAGCAGAUUCAAGAAGAAACAAAAUCACCCUUUAUUUUUGCAUUUUAAAUAGCGAAGAUACCAGACUUUUAACAUUGCGAUACAACAUUGUUACACUUGAUUUAGAGCUCCUUUAGUAACCCUUAACAAUUGAAAUUAAACUAAUUGAAUUAUGGAGGAUGCUUAGUGUUUGAUUUAAUAAUAGAGCUUUAUGAGGCUUAGUAAAAAGUAUAAACCUUAUUGACAUUAGGAAUUUAAAUCAGAUUGUGAGAGAGUCAACGACACAUUGAAUAAUAUCAUGGAAAGUCGUCGUUAUUAUGCUCAAAACUUUUAUCUCAAAUUAUAGUAAAUUUCUAAUUCUAAAUAGUCUAAACUAUAUAUAAUAACCACAAUAAUAAUUCACUUAUAUCUUAUUUAUUUGUGAAAAUGAAGUUAAUAAGUCACUUAUAUAAAUGAAAAACACUAUUAACUAGACUCAGUAUAGUUCAUAGUUUUGUAUGUUAUAUAAGGAUUCAACUUAGGUGCAGUAUUUUAGGUAUUGGUACUGACACCUAAUUGUAACGUAACAAAGUGUAUAAAAAGUUACAGCUAUAUCCAUCCAAUACCUAAUUGUAACAUAACAAAUUGUAUAAAAAGUUACAGCUAUAUCCAUCCAAUUAGAUCUCUUUAUUUCUCACUGUUGAAGAAAUGAGAAAGAUUAAAGAACUAUAUUGUUUGAGUUUUGUUGAAUGGAGAAAAAUGAAUAAGAGGACUUUAAUAGUGAGA